GACGAACGUUGGCGGCGUGCCUAAUACAUGCAAGUCAACUGAAAUACCGGUAGCAAUACUGGUAUGGAGGUGGCGCACGGGUGAGUAACACGUAGGUAAUCUGCCUUCAGGUCUGACAUAACCCAUCGAAAGGUGAGCUAAUAUCAGAUGAUGCAGCGGCUUGACAUCAAGACAGUUGUUAAGGCUUCGGCGCCUGAAGAUGAGCCNGCGUCUGAUUAGCUAGUUGGCGGGUAACGGCCCACCAAGGCUGCGAUCAGUAGCUGGUCUGAGAGGAUGAUCAGUCACACUGGAACUGAGACACGGUCCAGACUCCUACGGGAGCAGCAGUAAGAUAUGCUCAUGCCGAAAGCUGAAGCAGCAACGCCGCGUGAGGGAU
This 376-nucleotide ribosomal RNA is filed under the name uncultured bacterium. RNAcentral describes it as "bacterial SSU rRNA". It matches the Rfam family "Bacterial small subunit ribosomal RNA", at positions 28 to 409 of the family's 1533-position model. The record is from RNAcentral.